CUACGGGCUGCAGCAGUGGGGAAUAUUGCACAAUGGGGGAAACCCUGAUGCAGCAACGCCGCGUGGAGGAUGACGCAUUUCGGUGUGUAAACUCCUUUUAUAUAGGAAGAUAAUGACGGUACUAUAUGAAUAAGCACCGGCUAACUCCGUGCCAGCAGCCGCGGUAAUACGGAGGGUGCAAGCGCUACUCGGAAUCACUGGGCGUAAAGCGCGCGCAGGCGGCCUUUUAAGUUGGAUGUGAAAGCCUAUGGCUUAACCAUAGAACUGCAUCCAAAACUAUCAGGCUAGAGUCUGGGAGGGGAAGAUGGAAUUAGUUGUGUAGGGGUAAUAUCCGUAGAGAUAACUAGGAAUACCAAAAGCGAAGGCGAUCUUCUGGAACAGUACUGACGCUGAGGCGCGAAAGCGUGGGGAGCAAACAGGAUUAGAUACCCGAGUAGUC
Molecule: ribosomal RNA, 439 nt
Filed under: uncultured bacterium
Lineage: Bacteria
Description: partial 16S ribosomal RNA
Rfam family: Bacterial small subunit ribosomal RNA
Source: RNAcentral